RNAcentral lists this ribosomal RNA (484 nucleotides) under uncultured bacterium. RNAcentral's name for it is "partial 16S ribosomal RNA". It matches the Rfam family "Bacterial small subunit ribosomal RNA", at positions 30 to 507 of the family's 1533-position model. The record is from RNAcentral.
AUUGAACGCUGGCGGCAUGCCUUACACAUGCAAGUCGAACGGCAGCACGGGAGUAAUCCUGGUGGCGAGUGGCGAACGGGUGAGUAAAGCAUCGGAACGUGCCCAGUCGUGGGGGAUAACGUAGCGAAAGCUACGCUAAUACCGCAUACGAUCUGUGGAUGAAAGCGGGGGACCGUAAGGCCUCGCGCGAUUGGAGCGGCCGAUGUCAGAUUAGGUAGUUGGUGAGGUAAAGGCUCACCAAGCCGACGAUCUGUAGCUGGUCUGAGAGGACGACCAGCCACACUGGGACCGAGACACGGCCCAGACUCCUACGGGAGGCAGCAGUGGGGAAUUUUGGACAAUGGGCGCAAGCCUGAUCCAGCAAUGCCGCGUGCAGGAUGAAGGCCUUCGGGUUGUAAACUGCUUUUGUACGGAGCGAAAAGGCUUCCACUAAUACUGGGGGCUCAUGACGGUACCGUAAGAAUAAGCACCGGCUAACUACGUG